Molecule: ribosomal RNA, 301 nt
Filed under: uncultured bacterium
Lineage: Bacteria
Description: partial 16S ribosomal RNA
Rfam family: Bacterial small subunit ribosomal RNA
Source: RNAcentral
CAGUAGCCGCGGGAAUACGAGGGGGGCAAGCGUUGUUCGGAAUUAUUGGGCGUAAAGGGUGCGUAGGCGGUUUGAUAAGUCAUCUGUGAAAUCUCUGGGCUCAACCCAGAGUCUGCAGGCGAAACUGUCGGGCUUGAGUAUGGGAGAGGUGAGUGGAAUUUCCGGUGUAGCGGUGAAAUGCGUAGAUAUCGGAAGGAACACCUGUGGCGAAAGCGGCUCACUGGACCAUUUCUGACGCUGAUGCACGAAAGCUAGGGGAGCAAACAGGAUUAGAUACCCCCGUAGUCCCUGUCUCUUAUAC